RNAcentral lists this long non-coding RNA (1082 nucleotides) under Bos indicus x Bos taurus (hybrid cattle). Its description in RNAcentral is "lncRNA (ENSBIXG00000018318.1)". Lineage: Eukaryota; Metazoa; Chordata; Mammalia; Artiodactyla; Bovidae. The record is from RNAcentral.
GGCGGGCGCCUCCCACACCCCUCGCGCGCCCGCCGCUCCCGGAUGCCCCGGGCGGGCUCCACACCCACCUGCUUCCCUCGGCGGCUCCGGCUCCACUGAGCCGGAGGGUCCGCGGCCCCGCGGGCGCCGCGCACGGGGCGGCGGGGAAAGCCCGGGGCGCCCCGGCCAGGAUGCGCUUGGAGGCUUCGCGGGAUUCCCUGGACCCCUCUGUUUUCGGCCGCGGAGUUAUCCCCCGGCCCUCCCCACACACCCCUGACCCUGGCCCGCUGCUCGACCCCGGGGGACUGGGGAGAGGAGAGCCAGCUCCUGAGUGAUGACCCGGAGUAUCCCCAGGGAAGGAGCGCGCGGGUAACGAGGAGCGCAGAGAGGAUCCGACUUUCCUCCGAGCUCCUCCAGCUCUAUUUGGGGGCCGUCGCCAGCUCCAUAAUCCCCGCUUUCCCAGAGAACUGUGCCAAGUUCCUCCUUGGAGAGGCAGCCAGAUGGACACCCAGAACUUUCCGUAUCUUCGUGUCGAGUAACAUCAAGAAGGGCUUCCCAGAUGGCUCAGUGGUAAAGAAUCUACUUGCUAAUGCACGAAAUGCAGGUUUGAUACCUGGGUCAGGAAGAUCCCCAGAGAAGAAAAUGGCAACCCAGUCCAGUAUUCUUGCCUUGGAAAUCUCACGGACAGAGGAACCUGCCGAGCUACAGUCCCGAGGGUCGCAAAAGAAUGGCACACGACUUAGUGACUAAACAACAACAACAACAAUAUCAGGAAAAGGCAGCAAUUGUCGCUUAAUGAUAAUUAUGGGUGACAACAGUUGGAAUGCCUCUGCUGCUAAGGGAAGGCGAUUAAAGAGAAAAAAAGCAUCAUCAACACUUUAUGGAAAACUUUUUAAAGUGAUUAUUCAUAUUGUAUGUAAAAAAUCUAGGAAAAAAAAGUGUUUUCAUUAGUAAUUCACUAUUAAUUAAAAUGCAUGUCAUUCGAAGUAGUGUCAAUUGAUGGUGUAUUAGAAAACUCUUUGCUAUCUGGUGCAUUGUGCCUGUUUAUAUCUCCUUAGUGGAAUUUUAAUAAAUCAUCAUAAGGGUGACUUUAAUGGCUUAUU